AAGGUUUUAAGUUAAACUAAACUAUAAGCCUUCAAAGCUUACAAUAAAAAUUUUUUAAACCUUG
Molecule: transfer RNA, 64 nt
Filed under: Pygmaeconus traillii
Lineage: Eukaryota; Metazoa; Mollusca; Gastropoda; Neogastropoda; Conidae
Description: tRNA-Trp
Source: RNAcentral